RNAcentral lists this ribosomal RNA (219 nucleotides) under uncultured bacterium. RNAcentral describes it as "partial 16S ribosomal RNA". It matches the Rfam family "Bacterial small subunit ribosomal RNA", at positions 524 to 743 of the family's 1533-position model. The record is from RNAcentral.
UACAGAGGGGCCAGCGUUAUUCGGAAUUAUUGGGCGUAAAGGGCGCGUAGGCGGCCAUGCGUGUCUUCCGUGAAAUCCCUCGGCUCAACUGAGGAAUGGCACGGGAAACUGACGGGCUUGAGUUCGGGAGAGGGAAGCGGAAUUCCGGGUGUAGCGGUGAAAUGCGUAGAUAUCCGGAGGAACACCGGUGGCGAAGGCGGCUUCCUGGACCGACACUGA